Molecule: long non-coding RNA, 565 nt
Organism: Gasterosteus aculeatus aculeatus (three-spined stickleback)
Lineage: Eukaryota; Metazoa; Chordata; Actinopteri; Perciformes; Gasterosteidae
Source: Ensembl
CAAACAAAUCUGCACCCUCACUUUGAAGCUUUGAAAAGCAUUGUAACUUUCACUUUAAGAAUACAUCAUACACUUGCUCACGAAGAAACCGAGGAGAGAGGGCUAGCGCAAAUUGUGUCACCGGCAACUCGCUGAGGCACUUCCUGUUGCAGGUUGCGGUGCCGCGGCGAAUCGUGGCAGCUGCCUCGAGUUUACGGCAACUGCCUCGCCUGUUGCCUCGGCUGAGUGAGGGGCCGGUUCAUCGGUCGAGAGAGGUACCUCUAGCGGUACCUCGAGUUACGGGAGUCUUGCCACGACCUAACGGAGGCAUGCAACGACCAAAGGGAGCGGUGCAUCGGCUGAUAGAGGUACCGGGAGUUUAAGGGAGAGGUGCCACGGCUGUUAAGGGAGCUGUGCCUCGGCUGAUAGACGUACCGGGAGUUUAAGGGAGAGGUGCCACGGCUGUUAAGGGAGCUGUGCCUCGGCUGAUAGACGUACCGGGAGUUUAAGGGAGAGGUGCCACGGCUGUUAAGGGAGAGGUGCCACGGCUGUUAAGGGAGCUGUGCCUCGGCUGAUAGACGUACCG